RNAcentral lists this ribosomal RNA (369 nucleotides) under uncultured organism. Its description in RNAcentral is "bacterial SSU rRNA". It matches the Rfam family "Bacterial small subunit ribosomal RNA", at positions 526 to 896 of the family's 1533-position model. The record is from RNAcentral.
CGAAGGAUGCAAGCGUUAUCCGGAUUCAUUGGGUUUAAAGGGUGCGUAGGCGGACUUGUAAGUCAGUGGUGAAAUCUCUCAGCUUAACUGAGAAACUGCCAUUGAUACUGCAGGUCUAGAGUAUAGAUGACGUUGGCGGAAUAUGACAUUUAGUGGUGAAAUACUUAGAUAUGUCAUAGAACACCGAUUGCGAAGGCAGCUAACGAAACUAUAACUGACGCUGAGGCACGAAAGUGCGGGGAUCAAACAGGAUUAGAUACCCUGGUAGUCCGCACCGUAAACGAUGAUUACUCGUUGUUGGCGAUAUGACAGUCAGCGACCAAGCGAAAGCGAUAAGUAAUCCACCUGGGGAGUACGCCGGCAACGGUG